AUGAACGCUAGCGACAGGCUUAACACACGCAAGUCGAGGGGCAUCAUGAGGUAGCAAUACCUUGAUGGCGACCGGCGCACGGGUGAGUAACGCGUAUGCAACCUGCCCGAUACCGGGGUAUAGCCCAUGGAAACGUGGAUUAACACCCCAUAGUACUUUUAUCCUGCAUGGGAUGUGAGUUAAAUGUUCAAGGUAUCGGAUGGGCAUGCGUCCUAUUAGUUAGUUGGCGGGGUAACAGCCCACCAAGACGAUGAUAGGUAGGGGUUCUGAGAGGAAGGUCCCCCACAUUGGAACUGAGACACGGUCCAAACUCCUACGGGAGGCAGCAGUGAGGAAUAUUGGUCAAUGGACGUAAGUCUGAACCAGCCAAGUCGCGUGAGGGAAGACUGCCCUAUGGGUUGUAAACCUCUUUUAUAAGGGAAGAAUAAGUUCUACGUGUAGAAUGAUGCCUGUACCUUAUGAAUAAGCAUCGGCUAACUCCGUGCCAGCAGCCGCGGUAAUACGGAGGAUGCGAGCGUUAUCCGGAUUUAUUGGGUUUAAAGGGUGCGUAGGCGGUUUAUUAAGUUAGUGGUUAAAUAUUUGAGCUAAACUCAAUUGUGCCAUUAAUACUGGUAAACUGGAGUACAGACGAGGUAGGCGGAAUAAGUUAAGUAGCGGUGAAAUGCAUAGAUAUAACUUAGAACUCCGAUAGCGAAGGCAGCUUACCAGACUGUAACUGACGCUGCUGCACGAGAGCGUGGGUAGCGAACAGGAUUAGAUACCCUGGUAGUCCACGCCGUAAACGAUGCUCACUGGUUCUGUGCGAUAUAUUGUACGGGAUUAAGCGAAAGUAUUAAGUGAGCCACCUGGGGAGUACGUCGGCAACGAUGCAACUCAAAUGAAUUGACGGA
Molecule: ribosomal RNA, 890 nt
Filed under: uncultured Bacteroidota bacterium
Lineage: Bacteria; Pseudomonadati; Bacteroidota
Description: bacterial SSU rRNA
Rfam family: Bacterial small subunit ribosomal RNA
Source: RNAcentral